UGGGCGCAGCCUGAUCCAGCCAUGCCGCGUGAGUGAUGAAGGCCCUAGGGUUGUAAAGCUCUUUCGCCAGGGACGAUAAUGACGGUACCUGGAUAAGAAGCCCCGGCUAACUUCGUGCCAGCAGCCGCGGUAAUUGUAAGGAGGCUAGCGUUUUACUGGGCGUAAAGCGCACGUAGGCGGAUCUUUAAGUCAGGGGUGAAAUCCCGAGGCUCAACCUCGGAACUGCCUUUGA
Molecule: ribosomal RNA, 232 nt
Filed under: uncultured type I methanotroph
Lineage: Bacteria; Pseudomonadati; Pseudomonadota; Gammaproteobacteria; Methylococcales; Methylococcaceae
Description: partial 16S ribosomal RNA
Rfam family: Bacterial small subunit ribosomal RNA
Source: RNAcentral